ACACAAUUUAUUUCUUAAAUUCAUACUACUUAUUUUAAUAUUAUUACUAUUAAAUCCUAAAUCUAAAAUUUAAUUUUAUUUUAAUUAUUAUAAAUUGUAAUUCAUAUUUAUUUAAAUAUCAGCUGCACCUUGAUCUAAUUUCUAACUAUUUAUAGCUCUAAAAUCUUAUUUUAUAAAUUUUAUAAAAAUGACGGUAUACAAACUAAUUUAUUUAAAUUGAAUAAUUCGUGGAUUGUCGAUUAAUAAAUACAAAUUCCUCUAAUAAGGUUUAAAUUACCGUCAGGUUUUUUAGGUUUUG
Molecule: ribosomal RNA, 298 nt
Filed under: Parabathynellidae sp. (Browns Range) EM-2019
Lineage: Eukaryota; Metazoa; Arthropoda; Malacostraca; Bathynellacea; Parabathynellidae
Description: partial small subunit ribosomal RNA
Source: RNAcentral